CCACGUUAACAUCAUAACCCGAGAUUUAUUGGGUAUCAAAAACCCAACAAAUCUCCACCUUGAUGCCCAAUAAAUCUGCAAGCAAUCAAAACACACAGUUAACACUUGCAUAAUCAAGGUAGCCAAUAAAAUUGGAUCACAGACCUUACCUCAUGUUUCCAACUUGAAACACAUACCAUACCUGCUCCAUGUACUCACUGG
This 201-nucleotide long non-coding RNA is filed under the name Olea europaea (common olive). RNAcentral describes it as "long non-coding RNA (OEUR_LNC011048)". The record is from RNAcentral. Lineage: Eukaryota; Viridiplantae; Streptophyta; Magnoliopsida; Lamiales; Oleaceae.